CCCCAGUCGCCCCCAUAUCUCUCUCUCUUCGGAGAGGUAGAAAAAUCUUCCAUCUUGCACAGAUCGCCCAUGGAGUCCUCUAGCCUGUACAACCGGGUGGUCUAAUCUUCGAAAGGGGAGUAGUCUUUGGUUUUGGUAUUGCGAGUUUGAAGAAGUUCCUUAUGGGUUGAUCAACUUUUCAGGGCUCAAUUUCUUCAUCUGGAAAAUGACUUUCACUGUGCUUAAAUAAGUUAUAACCAAGAUGAGGAGUUUGGUAAUGAGAUGCUUCAGUUUUCGCAAGGACGAGGAUAUUGAGAGGCAAGGUCCCAAGAAUGACGGCAUCAAUGGUUCAGAACAGGAGAUUAAAAUAAUAGAAAUGGCAACUAGGUUGAUGGUCAACCCAGAUGAUCUGAUGGUCAAAAUUCCUUCAAUAACGAGGUUG
This is a long non-coding RNA of Carya illinoinensis, 421 nucleotides long. RefSeq lists it as uncharacterized. NCBI's taxonomy places the organism in Eukaryota, Viridiplantae, Streptophyta, Magnoliopsida, Fagales, Juglandaceae. The record is from RefSeq and is a predicted model, not a curated record. The transcript has 3 exons.